UCUUUUGCAGAGGAGUAAGUCAAAUUGCAUGCUGGAGUGAAGCAAACUCAAAUCAAUGGACAGAAAAGUUUGCAAACAUUUUUGCAAAAACAACAUUUAUGGAGGAAUCCAAUAUGCAACUAGCUUCUCAGAAUUAUAACCACAGCUUUAACACAGCCUGGAUGGUUGAAUAGAGAGUUAUACAGCAAACUACUGUACCUGAGGAAAAGACAGUCCUAGAAGGAACUGCCUGGAGAACAAGAUCAGAACUCAGAAGGUGUUGACAAAUUACCAGGAAAACCUGAAAAAAAGAGCCAUGGAAAAUGAGUCUGCUCAAACAAUGAAGCUUUUUAUUAGCACAUCUGUAAAUCUAUUUGAAGAUGUGUGCCUCUUGAGGAAAUCUGCAGUACGGAAAAAGGUGCUGGAGUUAGUGAGCCUGAUCUGGCCACAGCUGAAGUCACUGAAUGUGUUUUCACAGCCAUUGAGUACAGCAGGAUGGGAUUGUUUGCUAUUGAAUCAAUUAAAAGCAACAUUAAAAAGUUUACAGUUUCCUUCUUUUUAAUUCCUUCUCUAGUCUCUGCUUUCAAAGUAUA
RNAcentral lists this long non-coding RNA (572 nucleotides) under Anas platyrhynchos platyrhynchos (common mallard). RNAcentral describes it as "lncRNA (ENSAPLG00000024894.1)". The record is from RNAcentral. Lineage: Eukaryota; Metazoa; Chordata; Aves; Anseriformes; Anatidae.